GUCCACGCCGUAAACGGUGGAUGCUGGAUGUGGGGCCCGUUCCACGGGUUCCGUGUCGGAGCUAACGCGUUAAGCAUCCGCCUGGGGAGUACGGCCGCAAGGCUAAAACUCAAAGAAAUUGACGGGGGCCCCGCACAAGCGGCGGAGCAUGCGGAUUAAUUCGAUGCAACGCGAAGAACCUUACCUGGGCUUGACAUGUUCCCGACAGCCGUAGAGAUGCGGCCUCCCUUCGGGGCGGGUUCACAGGUGGUGCAUGGUCGUCGU
RNAcentral lists this ribosomal RNA (264 nucleotides) under uncultured bacterium. RNAcentral describes it as "partial 16S ribosomal RNA". It matches the Rfam family "Bacterial small subunit ribosomal RNA", at positions 793 to 1055 of the family's 1533-position model. The record is from RNAcentral.